ACCUACAGCCAUAUUGGCCUGAAGGCACCUGAUAUCAAAAGCUAAAAAGUCCCAGCCUGAUGAGUACUUAGAAGGGAGACCACCUGGGAAUCGUGAAUGCUGUAGGCA
Molecule: ribosomal RNA, 108 nt
Filed under: Chelonia mydas (Green sea turtle)
Lineage: Eukaryota; Metazoa; Chordata; Testudines; Cheloniidae
Source: RNAcentral